Bombus huntii is the source of this 588-nucleotide long non-coding RNA. RefSeq lists it as uncharacterized. The record is from RefSeq and is a predicted model, not a curated record. NCBI's taxonomy places the organism in Eukaryota, Metazoa, Arthropoda, Insecta, Hymenoptera, Apidae. The transcript is spliced from 3 exons.
UAAUAUCACAGGUAGGAUGAUUCAUAAUUUAGAACUACUAACUCAUGUAUGUAUUAAAAAUUAAAGAAAUAUAUUAAAUUUUAUAGGAUAUUUAUGUUUAGUAACCAGUAAUUCAGAGAUUGGUAUUCAUGGUUACUAUAACGAGGCUGUAGAAACGCACCCUUUCUUCUUUGCAAAUGGCCCUGUAUUUAUGUCUAAGCCGAAACUGGAACCUCUGAAUAAUUUAGAUUUAUUCUUGUUAUUUUCUAAAAUACUUAUCUACAGUAUACCAUAAGGAAUGAUACCGUAUCGCACCUAAUCAAGUGCCUUAAGAAACAUCAACAGGAUAUCACAGUAAUCCCUUAUCGACUGAUAUUUGUAGCCACUACAAUAUCUAUGACACUGGUAGUAAUUAUAAGAACAAUAAUGAUGUUCUAUAAGAGGAAAUGAUGAUUAGGAACAAAAACUUACAGGAGAUAUCAUGCGGUGGAUGGAUAAUAUGUAAAAAAUAUUAAGCAGUAUAUGAAUUUUCAUAUUGCGUAGAGAUAACAAAAUGAAUUUUAAAAAAUGUCGACAUGGUAAUAAGAAAUAGCAUCAUGACAAAGAAUA